This 400-nucleotide ribosomal RNA is filed under the name Blautia massiliensis (ex Durand et al. 2017). RNAcentral's name for it is "partial 23S ribosomal RNA". It matches the Rfam family "Bacterial large subunit ribosomal RNA", at positions 2527 to 2925 of the family's 2925-position model. The record is from RNAcentral. Lineage: Bacteria; Bacillati; Bacillota; Clostridia; Lachnospirales; Lachnospiraceae.
CGAUGUCGGCUCAUCGCAUCCUGGGGCUGUAGUAGGUCCCAAGGGUUGGGCUGUUCGCCCAUUAAAGCGGUACGCGAGCUGGGUUCAGAACGUCGUGAGACAGUUCGGUCCCUAUCCGGCGUGGGCGUAGGAUAUCUGAGAGGAGCUGUCCUUAGUACGAGAGGACCGGGAUGGACGGACCGCUGGUGGACCGGUUGGCUUGCCAAAGCCAUGGCCGGGUAGCCAAGUCCGGAAGGGAUAAACGCUGAAGGCAUCUAAGCGUGAAGCCCCCCUCAAGAUGAGAUAUCCCAUUCUUAUGAAGUAAACCCCCUUGAAGACGACGAGGUAGAUAGGGCAGAGGUGGAAGUGUGGUAACACAUGGAGCUGACUGUUACUAAUCGGGUGAGGGCUUGACCAACAA